CCUACGGGGGGCAGCAGUGAGGAAUAUUGGUCAAUGGGCGCAGGCCUGAACCAGCCAAGUCGCGUGAGGGAAGAAUGCCCUAUGGGUUGUAAACCGCUUUUAUAAGGGAAGAAGAAUGACUACGUGUAGGCAGAUGCCCGUACCGUAUGAAUAAGCAUGGGCUAACGCCGUGCCAGCAGCCGCGGUAAUACGGAGGAUGCGAGCGUUAUCCGGAUUUAUGGGGUUUAAAGGGGGCGUAGGCGGUAUUUUAAGUUAGUGGUAAAACGUCGGGGCUUCACCUUGAUUGGCCAUUCAAACUGGAGUACUAGCGUACAGACGAGGUCGGCGGAAUUCGUUCCGUAGCGGUGAACUGCUUCGAUAUCACUUAGAACCCCGAUAGC
RNAcentral lists this ribosomal RNA (380 nucleotides) under uncultured bacterium. RNAcentral's name for it is "partial 16S ribosomal RNA". It matches the Rfam family "Bacterial small subunit ribosomal RNA", at positions 338 to 716 of the family's 1533-position model. The record is from RNAcentral.